GUCUCCGCCCAUACCACCCUGACCACACCGACCCUCAUUUGAUCUCGAAAGCGAAGCAGGGCCAGGCCUGGUUAGUACUUGGGUGGGAGAGGGAGAGAGACACCCACAGCCCCUGCAGGUGGUGGCA
RNAcentral lists this ribosomal RNA (127 nucleotides) under Erinaceus europaeus (western European hedgehog). The record is from RNAcentral. Lineage: Eukaryota; Metazoa; Chordata; Mammalia; Eulipotyphla; Erinaceidae.